Salvelinus sp. IW2-2015 is the source of this 2885-nucleotide non-coding RNA. NCBI's taxonomy places the organism in Eukaryota, Metazoa, Chordata, Actinopteri, Salmoniformes, Salmonidae. The record is from RefSeq and is a predicted model, not a curated record.
GACCCUGAUGAAUUGCCGUAGAUCUAAUACGUCACAGGUCAAAGUUGAAAUUAGCACAAAACAUUGGACCAGCAUGAAGAAGGAGCAAUGAAAAAGGGAGAGAGGCAGUGAGGGAGACCCUGAGAGAGAAACUGGACCUGGAGAAGAGACCUGUGCAGGUGGUGGAGUGUCUCUUGGAGGAUAGCGUAGUGGAGGACUUCCUGGUUGACUGUGAAAGCUUGAUCACUUCUGCCAAUUACAAAGACAGUUGAGGAGAGAUCUAUUGUGAAGCUGUGUGGCUAUCCUGUCUGUUCAAAUAAACUGGGCUAGGUCCCCACUCAACAGUUAAACAUUUCCACCAACACCAAUAAAGUCAAUGACAUUACAGAACGCAAGUCCUUCUGCAGUAAUUCUUCUACAAAGCCUCCAAGUCCUUUGAGCUGCAGAUAUCAAAGAGCCUUCAAUGGUUGAGGCAGCACGAGAGGCAAUUAUGUUCCGUUUCACUUUACAAUGAGUCAUGGUUAACCACAGAUAUAGCCGUGCACAGAUGUAAACUUAAUGAAUAAAGGAGAUUGCGGUAGCACUGGAGAGGAGGAUGUGAGGAACCUCUGUACUCUGUGGCGCCAGAGAACCCCAGACGAUCCUGCACAGCCGGUCACAGCGACACAGAACAGCACUUUGUUUCCAGCGUGGUCUCCCAGCAACAGGGACCCAGGGUGCGCUGGGGAAGUCUGCUCAAGCACACCAACUAAGGGGAGGGGAGGGAACGAGGAGAGGGAGAGAAGGUCGGGAGGGAAGGACACAAAGAUGCCAAAACAAACAAACAAGGCUGAAGACAAGAAGGAGGAGAAUACAGAAGAAUCACAGAAAGAACCAACAAAGACAAUCAAUGACAUAGAUGGACCCCAACAACACACAACAGAUACAAACCACCCCAGUGAGCAGCAGCCUUUCCUGGAAGAGAGAGGCUCACCAGAGGGCCGGUCUAUGGAGGAUGCCGCAGCACUACUGAGCCAAGUCACAAUGCAGGAUAGAGAUCCAGUCACGGUUACAUCUUCUGUACUAACAACCCUCAGCACAAUGCAGUGUACAGAAUCAAGAUCCAACCCCCAACCCUCAGUGGGACUCAACCCCAGCACAGCCUACCCAGCCGGGCCUCAGGAUCAGCCAGGUGGGCAUGAGCAGGAGGGGGGCCCAGGGGCUCCUCAAGGGCCACAAAACUACUCCAAAACCUGKCUCGGUCUGACUGAACUUUCUUGAAGGCCUAUGGAGGACCUUCGACGAAUGGUGGACUGAGGAGACUAUGAAGUUCCUAUAUGGCCCAGACCACUUUAAUAAAACAACAGUAGAAACGAAGAAGAAGGAGGAGGAAGAAGAAGAACUGGAUGAAGAUAACCUGGAGGAUGUUGUAGAAGGGGUUGGGGAUGGAGGGGACGGCGGGUCCCCAGGGGGUCCAUGGAGACCCUCUGCUCCAUCCCCAGACUACGACACAAUACGCAGGGAUACAGAGGAGCUGGGGCUGAGUGUAAGGGAGUUCUACAAAGGGGUCAGGGAAACGGGCCCUGAGACUCAGAGGUGAGUGGGGGAUAAAAGUGUGGUGUAGUAACCGUCAGUGUCCAGAUGGGGGCACUAUGUAUAAGCAUUGGAGAUGUUAAGCGUGAUGAUGACGAUGGUCUUGUUUUUGAGUUUGGCUUUUACCAUGAAGAUGUUUUUUUUAUGUCUCAUCUCACUUCUUUCCCUCACUCUUUGUCUCCUCUCCUUUCCCAUCUACGCUCUCUCUCUUGCUUUCACGCUCUUUCUCCUGCUUUCACACACUUUCUCUCACGCUCUCUCUCCACCCCCACCCCCCCCAUGCCCAGCACCUCAUACAGAAACACAUAACGGUUGAGAAGCUCACUAGAGGGUGUGUGUGUGUGUCUGUAUGAAAAUGCUGCUACGGUUUUCAAAGUUCAAAAAAAUGUUUUAUGCAAUGAAAAUGUGGUCACUGAUGUGCUGAUAGUUGACAACCAGCAAUAUUGCAGAAGCAUUGCCUGAGAAACAUCGUGGGCUCCCUGCGUCUCACCAUGACUGACAUCUCCAGUGACCUCAACAACCUGGUCAGGACCUUCAGGUUAUCAGAGGUGUCCCCGGUGUACAGGAGGCCCUGAAGAGCCCGACCUCAGUCAAAUACCUCUCUAUUCUGAUGCAGCAGCUGUCACUUCAGGACCUACAGAGCCUAGUCUAGCUACUCAAAACCAUCCAGUCUCCUCUACUAUAUACUACUUUCUUUACUGUUACAGCCAAAUCUUUACAUGUUUCCUAUCAGAACGGCAAGGGCUGGAGGUAUCGCUCUUCUGAUAGAUACAUCAUUGAUUGACUUUUAUUUGAAAUCAAUAUUGGAGAACCUUGCCUUGCCUUUUUUUGUAUUACUUUGGUUUGGUUGRUUUUUCAGUUUUAUUGAUACAACUAUUGAGAAUUAAGAGAAAUUACUUUUCAUCUUCUCUCAGGAUAUGGACAGUGCUUGUUGAGGCUUUAGUGCUCUGAAAUGAAGACUGAAAUUUCCAAGAAAAUUGUGCAGACAUACUGUAUCAUCGAAUAGGCUUGUUAUUACACAGGAAUUGUUGAACAGGUGCAUAGUUUACACACAUUCUGGCAGCUUCAUGGUGGAAAUGUAUAGUCUUAUUAUGCCUCUCCUAAUUUUCAAACAAACACUGAUAUACUGAAUCUGAUGAUACUGUAAAUGUCUAAAUCAAAUCUUCAAAGUUACAAGCCUCCAAUGUUUAAYCCCAUGCUUCUAUACAACCAAAUAAAUCACACUCAGGUUUUCCACUGUGUAUAAAAAUGUCAUGUGAUCGACUAUAUUGCCAUACUGGAAGAGAAUGGUGCAAUAAAUGUGUCGCUGUUUAUCCCAGCUUCCUUCACAGGAA